Neopsephotus bourkii (Bourke's parrot) is the source of this 2175-nucleotide long non-coding RNA. RefSeq lists it as uncharacterized. Lineage: Eukaryota; Metazoa; Chordata; Aves; Psittaciformes; Psittacidae. The transcript has 2 exons. The record is from RefSeq and is a predicted model, not a curated record.
CCAGACUGUGACCUGGUACUCAAAUGAUGUCUCUAGUGCGGUUAGCGGUGCUGUAUCUUGCAUUUGGACUAUCCCAUAGACUCUUGUCACAUCAUAUAGCUCUUCUGGGAUGUUUGGGUUAAAAACCAUUGCUCCCCUGACUGCUUUCCUGUUACCCUCUGACAGACUUGCCCUCUUUCUGAAUUACAGUCUCAGCCUCUGUCCCUGACAUCUCUUCAGGAUCCCAGCUCAGGUUAAAGCAGGACACUUUCCUGCGUAUGCAUUUUAGUCGCGGUUGCUGGAGGCAGUUUCACUCUCCCACCUCUUUUUCAGCCUUGUGAAUAGAAGAGGCGGCCGGGCUGCAGGUAUGGUGACUCCUGGGCCUGAGUCACGUCUCCUCAGGCUAUGGGCAGCAUGGAAAGUCCUGGCUCCCCUGGGGACCUCCAGCGCAGGCUGCAAGCCCGGCCGCAGAACAUGUCCUCUCCUCCGAGCAGGAGGUGGGAUGCUGGUUUCUCUCGGGAGGUGGCAGCACAGGCAGACGCGAUUCGCAUCUGCAGCUUGGCGGCCAGAACUGCAAAGGGGUGGCAGGGAGGCGGUGGGGUUGGUGUGGGAUUCCUUCCGUCCUAAACUGAAGCUCCGUAGUUGGAGGUAAGGAUUAGGAUGGGGAGCAUGAGGGUGUUGAUGCAUAGGAGGGAUCGCUUCAAACCCUUUCUUGAAGCGGAGUGGAAUCAGCCCAACAUCCUCACUGUAACACACUGGGGUCCAUCUCUCCUGAUCAGAUUCCUUUGUAUCAGCUGCAGCGGAUUGUCAGGUAUGGUGAAGGCCUGAGAUUCUGCUGUGGGGAGAGUGUCAUUUGGUGGCCAGGGAGCAAGACCCCUAGCUACUUUCUCCCAUGUGUGGGGAAAGGCUGUCUACAGGAGAUUGGGCACAGCCCUUAAGUAGCAGGGUUUUUGCAAGCACCUACUUAACCUGCAGGCUGCCACAAUACUUGUAUGUUAUUUUAUCUGCAAGUUAUCAGGCAGCGUUAGGUAAAAUGCCAUGAGAAAGGAAGAGCAAUGAUUAGUCACCAUCCCAUUAAAUGCUACAACCUGCUCCUCUCUCAGAAUCUCAUCUGUUCUUUUUAUCUAGAUUUGUGAAGCCUGGAAGCUCUGGUUCUUGCCUGAGGUUUUAGUAAUGGAUCAGAAAGCCAAGGAUACUAUAGGUGAUACAGUGUGACCAUCACCUGGAAAACACGCACAGAUGCAGGGGGUUGGGUUUCUGCAGAAACCAGACACAGUCUGGUCCAGAAAUCCAUGGGUAUAUUGCUUAAUAUACCCCUCUGUCUCUAUUCUUUGAAUUCAGCCAGCCAAGAACACUGAAUCAGCUGGGGAUGCUGCAGAGCCUUGGUGGGAGGAUGUUUGCUUACUUCAUGAACUUUGGGAAGUUUUGUGGCAACAUGGGAAACACAGUAGAUUCAGUUUUGCCCCAGUAGUAAUUUGUGAAUGCUGUCUGUAGGUUUGGGCAUCCAAAAGCAAAGGGUGCUGCAAAUCCCAAUUCAGUCAAUUCAAACUGUGUUAAUAGCAUCAGCAACUAGAGGGUGGCCAGCCAGCCCUACAGUCCUUCAAAAAGUAAAACAAUGUACUUGAGUUUUACUCCUUGUUUUAUAACCACUGAAGGGGAACUAGUCUCAUAUACCAGGUAAUUCCUGCUUGACACUGCUUAGGGCACCAUUGAAACCACACCUUAAGCAGGCAGCACUGAGAUGGUGAAGCACAGAAAGGCAACAGAAAAACCUGAGGUUUGCAAGCACUUAGAAAGGGGCCACCUCCCAUUUUUUUCUCCCCACUCUUUGCUCCCGGCAGCCUUGGAAGGCCCAUCCCUACUCUCGUGACUGUACAGAAAAGGAAAUUUUCUCUAAAGUGUCUGAAAGUGUUGAAAUUCUCUCUUUCAGAACAGUUUCAUUCCUGAGAGUAACCCUCAUGCCCCAGAGAGAGCUUGUGGCAUUGGCGUGUGCACUAAGGACAAGUGGUGCAAGACCUGCAUUGCUACACUCCUUUUGCUGCCAGAUACAGGAAGAUCAAUCCAGACAACAUGAUUGCUGUCUGCAUGGCUUUUACCCAUUGGCAACCAUCUCCUCGUGGUGACAUCAGCUGAGGUGGAAAGACUAUAAUUUUAUAUCACAGUAGUCAUUUAAAGUAAAAAUGAACAUUAACAUUU